AAAAAAAAGAAAAAAGAAAAAAGUAUAUUAUAAUCAUCAAAAGUAUUCACUCACCGCAUAUUUUACAAGAAUGACUUCAAACUAUAAUCAUUUUUAAUGCAAAAUAUUCAAUUUAGCCACUGUACUUAAUAAUUUAGCCCAUUUUCAACCUUUUUAUCCAAUUUAGCCCAAAAAUUUCAAUUUGAACUCAAUUUAGCCUAAAACUUAAAAUUUAUAGGCUAAUUUUCUUUAUUUUUUUUAUUUAAAUCAAAAAUUUAAAAAUUUAACCUAUAAAUU
This 276-nucleotide unclassified non-coding RNA is filed under the name Hevea brasiliensis (rubber tree). The record is from RNAcentral. Lineage: Eukaryota; Viridiplantae; Streptophyta; Magnoliopsida; Malpighiales; Euphorbiaceae.